Molecule: long non-coding RNA, 646 nt
Organism: Leopardus geoffroyi (Geoffroy's cat)
Lineage: Eukaryota; Metazoa; Chordata; Mammalia; Carnivora; Felidae
Exons: 4
Source: RefSeq, a predicted model, not a curated record
CUAUAGAGCAGGACGUUGGCUGCGCUCUCGGCUCUCAGAGUAUCUCCAUCUCAACGUGGAGGAAUCUGGUGCCACCGAGAAUGGGGUGACAAUGGGAUCGCACACACGCAGAGGCAGAUGCCUGGACUGUGCGUGCUGAUUCCUGCUGGGCCCCUGGCUGAUUCUGCCACGCAAUGAAUGCGGCCCGCGUACCCACUCCCACUCGAGACCCUGAAGGACUGUGUGGAUGGAAAAGCUCAAACUCCGAGUCCAGAUCCUAACAGCUAAUGCUAUUGAGUACUUCCAUAUGCUGAUUACUGUGCAAGUUGCCUUCCACAUUAUUCCAUGGAAUCUUCACAGAAUCUCUACAGGUAAUCUCUAAUGAGGAAACUGAGGCAGGGAAGAUUAUGCAAGUUUCCCAAUGUCACACGACCAUCAAGGGGGAACUAAAACAUGACUAUUGGAAUUACAGGAGUGGAGGAAAAUCGAGGAGAUAUUUUGAAAGCCAAGGGCGAAUCUAGCAGACAUGUAGCAAAUUGACCUCUGUAACAAUCAAGGAGACAACAGAAGGAAAGUAAGCACUAAUUGGGCUCCAGUUCUGUCUCAAGAGCUCUGCUGGACUAGGUUGCCAUGGUUGGUAAAUAAAACACAGUCUUUGGGACCCUGA